GUGGGCAUCCUUAUGAUGUUAAAUCUAAAUUUCACACUUGUUAUUGUUACUGGUAUGCAGAAGCAUUUCAUUCUGGCAGCUUAGGCCACUAUUUUGAUUAAUCUGUUACCUUUACAAAUUUCCUUUUAGCACUAAUUGAGCUGUGGAUAUAUAUUUUUGUUUCCUUCUUUUUCGAAUUUUUGUUUCCUUCUUUUUUGAAUUUAGUCUUUAAUUGUUUAUGUAGAGAAGUUGCAUGAGUUGGCUUGGAGUGGGGUACCACCAUAUAUGCGGCCAGAUGUAUGGAGGCUUCUUUUGGUAAGCUCGCUGCCUCUAUAUUAAUGACAUAGAAGCUGCAAGGUCCUCCUUGUGUCCCACUUUCUUUAUUUACCUUGUCUUUUCCUUUUGUAUUCUGUAUUUCUUUUCAUUGCAAGUUUAAAACGUUUGAUGCAUGCAGUUGGGUUAUAGGUGUCUAGUUCAUUCAGUGGUGUCCAAUGUUCAGCCCAUGCUUUGAACUUGAAGUUUUAUGCAUGUGUUACUUUGUUAUAUCACUUUUCGUUUUAACUUCUUUCUUUCUUGUGAAUUUUUUUUUUCUCUAUAAUUGGAGUGGAAGUUCUGAAGUAUGUAUUUGAAGAUAGCAUUAUGUCUUAGAAAAGGGGUUCACUUUAUUUGCCUUUUUGUUAACCUGGAUUGCCUUUAUCUAGUAAACAUUGUGGCUUUUUUGAAUUUAAAAUAUGAACUGACAACAGGGAUAUGCACCAUCUAAUUCAGAUAGAAGGGAGGGAGUUCUAAGAAGGAAACGCCUUGAGUAUCUUGACUGUGCUUCUCAGUACUAUGACAUUCCGGAUACUGAGCGGUCAGAAGAUGAGAUAAAUAUGCUUCGCCAGGUGUUUUAAAUGUUAAAAAAGCUCCCAUCUUUCUUAGUUCUAAUAUGUGGCUCCUGGUUUUUACAAUUACCUUUGUUGUCCUUAUUAGAUUGCUGUUGAUUGCCCAAGAACUGUGCCAGAUGUAUCUUUCUUUCAGCAAGAGCAAGUCCAAAAAUCCUUGGAGCGCAUCCUUUACACAUGGUUAAUACUACAUUUGCCCAUAUAUUCUUGGUCAUUGCUGUAUUUUUUGUAACAUCGAAUGUGUUCAUACAAGGAAAAGAGAAAUGAUUGCAUGAAGUGUUACUGAUUGUGCUAAGUUGCAUCUAUUUGGUCUGCUGAUUCCUAAUAACGAAAGUGUAAAAUCUGCAACUGAUUUAAAGGCGUAUGAUUUAUUAAUCUAGGAAUUCCAGUCCAUUUAUCUUUGUUAUAGGGUUCAUCUAAGGGGCUUUGGUUCAUUACACAUGUUGAUUAUCUUGAAAUGACAGCAUGGAACAGUUAUACAAUUUUUUUUUUUCUUCUACAUUUUGUCCUGUUUAGAGAUUUAGAGGUUCGCUAUUACUAAUCAGACAUGAAUGAGAAUUUCUGUCUUUGCCCUAUUGGUUUUCCCAAAGUAGGUCUAGCUCUGAACUGUCUGAGAUAGUAUGUCAAGUUGAUAGUGAGUUGUUUAAGUUAAUAUGUACAUGUUCUCUCUACACUAUCUUUAGGUAGGUUUAAUGUUCUUGACAUUGUGCAUUUAGAGGGCUGGCAUGGGGCAUGAUUCUCAUAUUGUAAUUGUCACUUAACUAUACAUGUUUGCUACAUUUCCGCUGCUAUUUAGUCAUUUUAAUCAGGAUGUUUAAAGAGCCUAGGUUUAUUUCAUGGGGUUUUCAUGGUAGGUCUCUAUGUAGAUGUGGACCAAGCAGGGAGAAAUAGUGAGUAGUGACAAAAGCUCUUCUAUACGCAUAACUUGCCUCAGUUAUGUGACGCUUCCUUUUUCUUCCCUCUUCUUCCUCUAAUUGAGAAAUUUAGCCUAUCAGAUGCAGAUAACAAUUCCUGGUACCUUGAUAGCGUGAAUUGUUUCUAUUUUAUUUUCUGAGCAGUUUUUGGAGUCCAACAGUUUAGCUUCAAAACAAAAAAAAAAAAAAAAAAAACUGGUCUAGAUGUGGAGUAUGGUUUCAAGAUGCCAUCAUUUUAUUAUUUUUUCUUUUUCUUUAAUUAUUUGAUUUUUAUGAUUAUUAGUUAUGUCUUUUCAAGUUACUUCUCAUGUAUUUCAGGGCCAUUCGACAUCCUGCAAGUGGAUAUGUUCAGGGAAUAAAUGAUCUUGUUACUCCCUUUCUAGUUGUUUUCUUGUCCGAAUACUUAGAUGGGAGUGUGGAUAAUUGGUCGAUCUCCGAUUUAUCUCCUGAUAAAAUAUCUAAUAUAGAGGCUGAUUGCUAUUGGUGCCUAUCAAAUUUACUAGAAGGUAUGCAAGACCAUUACACUUUUGCUCAGCCGGGAAUCCAGAGGCUUGUGUUUAAGCUAAAGGAAGUGGUCAGGCGGAUUGAUGGUAACUCCCAUUUUUUGCUUUUAUUUUCUGCUUCUUGCACGCUUUUUACUGGAUCAAGUGAAUCAACCGAUGCUUCUACGCUUGUAUAUGUACUUAUAAGCUUCAUUUUGGUUAAUUUUGCUAGACCUAUUUUGAAUAGGGAAGUCUAUUUUUGGCUGUCUCUUCUAUUAUGUGUGGGGUUGGCUGAGAUGUGGGAUAGAGUGAAGUUUUGGGCGGCGUUAUGGGCUUCGGUUACUCCUGUUUUUAAGGAUUUGGCUGUCUCUUCUAUUAUGCGAGAUUUGUUAGCGGUUGUGAAGUGAUAUGUUGCUAUUUUCUCUUUUCCUGGGUGGCCUCCUUGUUUGUUCUUGUCCUUCUUUCCUUUGUUUGUUUUGGUCUUGAGAUUGCUGUUUUCUUUUGUUUUGCUCUUGUGGAUUCCUUAUCCACUUGCUUGUUUCUUUGUUUAUCUCUUUUGAAUUUAUAAAGUUUCUAUUCAAUAAAUAAAUAAAUAGGGAAGUCUACUCUGGCGUAAUUUUCAUUAUGGAAAUCUCUUUGCUUUUCUGUAUGUAUAUUUGGACUUAUACACAGCCACCAAGAGAUACAAAUGGCAUGGCUUCACAUAUGGCUUUGGCCGGGCUAAAGAAUGGAAUGUUUUAAGCAUGUAGAAACAGAUCAAAGGAAGUUUAUAUUUGUAGUGUUAAUUCAGAAACACUAUAAUAAAAGAAAAGAAAUAUGCUUCAUAUAAUUUCCCCAAAAAGAAAAUGCUUCAAAUAUUAUAAUGAAAAAUCAAAUAGAUUGUUCGUUAUAUUAGGCGCACUGGGGCAUUUUCAGUUUUUCUGAAUCUCAUGAUGCAAUAAAAUGUUGUUGCGCAUCAUAUUAUAGUGAGAGUUUGUUAUAAGUGAAUUCUGGCGAGAGCAGUUUUUGGGGUGUUGGUUUUGUUGAAGGAAAGACCAACUUUUGCUCUUAUACUCAGACUUCCAUUUAAUAUCUUCAGACACUGGCAAUACCUCAUGCUCUAGGAUGCAUGAAACACGUCAAAGUUCUGCUAUCAUCUUUGAUGUACGUACUCAUUAUUUUUUUCCUCUACUGCACUAGAACCUGUAUCCAGACACGUGGAGGAGCAAGGGCUGGAAUUUCUUCAAUUUGCUUUCCGGUGGUUCAACUGUCUUUUAAUACGCGAGGUUUGCUUCUACAGAUCUCUUCUCUGUACUUGCUAUAGUUUCCUCUUUGUAAAAUAUAUUUGUGCGCAGUGCAUAAAGUUGACCAACUGUAAUCUUGAGGUUUACUUGAAUUGUGGUAGAAUAAUUCUAAACAGAUUUGGCCUGGACCUGUGCUUUUAUCAUUUAUUGCAAAGCUAAUGGAAAUUCUUUCUUUUUGCUGCUUAGAUUCCUUUCCAUCUCAUUUCUCGUCUGUGGGAUACCUAUCUUGCCGAAGGAGAUGCAUUGCCAGAUUUCCUUGUGUAUAUAUUUGCCAGUUUUCUUUUAACGGUAAGAUAGAAACUGUUACCACUGCAAACAUAUAGUUUCCUUGGUUUCAUUACGUAUUUGGAUGCAUUAGCUGUGAGCAUGUGAUAAGGAAGCGUGUACUUUUAUUUAUUUGUCCAUUAACAAGUUCGCUGUCCAGUUGGUAAAUGAUGGGGGGGUCGAGAGGCUAUCCUUCUUGACAGAUUUGGUUAUGGAAAAAAAUCUCAUCGUUUAUGAUAAUUUUGACUCUUUAUAUAAGGUUUUAAAGACCUUUUGAAUUGCAUUCAUGGCAUGCAACACGUUCAUCACUGAAAUGCACUGUAGAUUACUUUCCAUUUAACAGAAAUGGUGGACAUAAAUGCAUUCUUGCUCACCAAUCAAGUAUCACUAUGCACAAGGUAGCCUUAUAUAUAUCAUUAGCUUUUUUGCUAUAUUUCCUGGCCCAUGUUUACCAUUUCUCCAGGGUUUUUCUGUACUUGUAUACCUUAUGGGGUGGUAACUACUUUUGGGUGGUGGUUCUAUUGAGAUCCCUUAUUGGUCCACUAAUUGUUUUACUUUGUUUUUAUUCUCUCAACUUCAAAUUUUACCUUUGAAUAAAACUACAACACUUUUCCUUUUUGAAUAAAUUGUAGAUUCAUAUAGAAUGACUUUUGUUCCUUUGUUACUUUUCUUUUGCUCGAGUCAAUUUGACAGCUGAUAAUCUGAAAGGCUAUUUUCUGUGUUAUUUGGCUAUAUAUUCCUUUAUAUUCUUGCUGUAAAGCCAUGGUCUGCUUAAACUGCUCUAAAUUUUUCGUUCAUAACAGAAUUGAUGCCAAUAACUUGAAAUCCACUAUGAUUUGAUAUGCAGUGGUCAGAUGAGCUUCUGAAGCUUGAUUUCCAAGAGUUGGUUAUGUUUCUUCAACACCUUCCCACUAAUAACUGGACUCACCAAGAGCUGGAGAUGGUGCUUUCAAGAGCUUUCAUGUGGCACAGUAUGUUCAAAAGCUCUCCUAGACAUUUGGCCAGCUAAAAAAGGAAUUUGUAAUAUUCAUUAUCUACCGUCAUCUCUGAAUUUUGGCUUUUUUUUUUCUAUUUAUAAUUUUCCGUUUUGUUGUUCUUGAUGUCGUUUACUACAAUUUUUUUCUCAUAUGGUGGAGGCCCCUGGCACCUUGCCCAUAUUAUAUGUAUCAGGUGUCUCUAAUAUUUGUAUUUGCAAGCAUUUCUUUGUAGAUUUGCCUUUGAGCAAUGGAGGAAAAGAAAAAACAGACUUUGUAUUGAUUUGUUCUUACUUCAUUGAACAGAGCCGACGGAACCCGUAAUCGAAGACAUUUCUCGUAAUUGUUAUUAAUGUUGACCACAAAGUCCGGGUACAAUUUCUUCAGCCACCCAUCUGAAGGUGCUGCCAUGGAAGCUGAUGGCUUAGCAAGUUUUUCUUUUUUGAAAUAUUAACAUAUAACUAUAGGUAAUUUUAGAGAGUAACAAAAUUGUAAAUAAAACAAUUUAAAGGUACGUGGGUGGCAUGAGUAGUUUAUUGGGUGACAGUACCGUCACUCUUUCUUAAAAAGAAAAGAAAAUGAUGGCAUGGAGGCCCAAUCGAACAUAGAGUGCUCUUAAGGCCCAGGUUUUAGUGGUUGAGCUGGAACAAACCAACCCUUUAACCACCUUUCUUGUUUCGGUCAUUUACUUUGUGUUGUACACCGUUUUGAGGUUAGGGGAUACUAAAUUAAACAAAAGCCAUUGUUUAGUACAACACACACUCAUAUUGGAAAUAGGGUGACAACCAAACUAAUUUUUUACUUGAUACAAAAUCCCUAAUUUUAAUUAUAUACUCCAUCAUUUUACAUUUUAUAUUAACUAUCUACUCAUUAUCGAUCCUAGCAAAAAAAUUGAACGAAAUGUACUUUAUUAAAAAUACUCAUUAAGAUUUUGAACGGUGCAAAAUUUAGAGUUUAAGUACGAUAAUAAGAGAUGUUGAAAGGGUAGCAAUGAUGGUGAGAAAGGGAAAGAAGAAAAUUACAAAGAAAGAAAGGGGCACUUUAAAAUUUGGUUAAGAAAAGUAUGAUUGUAUUAAUAAGACAAUAGCCUCAAAGAAGAUUGAGAGGAGGAGGAGGGGACUCUAUUUUCAAAGGAAAGUUUAAAGAGAGUUAUUAUUCACACUUUACAAAAGUCAUCGUGCACUCAUUCCUUACAUAAAUAUAAAAUAGAAAUUGCAAAUGGAGGAGAGCAAGAUGUCUUUUUUAAAAGUGAUAAUAACAAUUCCCAAUUUACAUUACAAGUAGACAACAUAGAAUUAGAAUUAUCAACAAAGGACCCAUUACUGUUGUGGUUUGGAGCAAUUGUUCCUUCCGGGAAAGCUUUGGAUUCGAGUCCUAGCAUUAGUAUAAUAUAUGUGAAUUUAAUAUGCUAUCACCCCUCUUAAUAGAAAGGUCUUGAAAAAAAAUUGGCAAAAUAUAUUGUUUCUAUACAUAAGUAUUUGUAUACACAUCCUUUAUAUAAGAAAUGACAAAAUAAUGGAGUUUUAUUGCCUGCCAAUCUUAUCUAUUGCGUUGUUAGAUUUUCAAUUUAGGGCAUUAUUUAAUUACAAAUCUACUUGCUAAUCUUAUCUUAUUGCGUUGUUAGAUUCCAAUAUAAGAGAUAUUUAAUUAAAAAUCUGUUUAGUUGAGCUACAGUCUCGCAACAUAACAUGUUAGAUUUUCUUGUAAGUAAAUAUGUUUCUUUACAGUUCAAAGAAAGGAGCCUUUUUGUGAUUUUUCUAUUUUAUUUUUUCUUAUUCAAAUAAAAUCUUUAAUUUAGGAGUUGAGUUUAUCUAUGCCACCACCACAAGAACCAUGACAAAUAAGGAAAUCAAAAUGUCUAAUCCACAUCACCUUUGAACCUUGAUAAGCCACACCACACAUGACACACGACAAUAAAUUCCCAAUAAAACCGUUAGGUCGGUAGGAUGACGCCACGUGUGAACCUUCAAUAUGGCAGAAGAUCAACGACAGCCAAUGCACGAAACGUACGUAGCUAUAUCAUAUUUGACACGCAUAAAGGCUCCUGCAACGGUAAGAAAAACAAGGCCUUAUGGGCAAGUCUUUAUAACGCAGGCCCCUUACCAGCUUUUGUUUCCAUCUUCUCUCUCUCCUUUCCCUACUUUCUUUCUCUGCGGAGAUCUUCUUCUUUCUUUGGUGCUUGUGCAUCUAAAUCUCUAUCCCUUUCACUUUCACUGCUUAUAUAUAUACAUAUAUAUAUAUACAUACAGGGCAACAGAAACAGUGAGGCUGAUCAUCUUGUUUUCUGAUUUGUUUGUUUUCAUUCUUCUCUCAUGGAGUUUGGGAGAUUUGCUUGGCUUGUGUUGCUGGUUUGCUUUGGCUUGUGUUUCUCUUCCACACAAGGAAACAGAUUCUAUGUUGGUGGGAAAGAUGGGUGGGUCUUGAACCCCUCUGAUAACUACAUCCACUGGUCUGGGAGGAACAGGUUCCAGGUCAAUGACACUCUAUGUAAGAUGCUCAAAUCUCUCUCUCUCUCUCUCUCUCUCUCUCUCUCUCUCUCUAAUAUUUUAUAGGUUCUUCGUUUUUGAUCAUUUUCUGAGUCUGAUCCUCUUUAGAUGUCUUUUUGUUCGUAUUGUGCUUAGUCUAAAAUUACAUUUAAACUCUCAAACUGAAAACAACGUUGUUUCAGACAUAUAUCAGAAGAGAAAAUGACACUUUGUGUUAGAUGCGCAAAUAUCUGGCUAUUUCCUGAUAUCGAGCUUAUGCCUAAAACGAAGACAUAGUAGGACAAAAAAUUUAGAACAUAAAUUAGAGAUCCUAUAUUUCUGCUUAAUUUUUUGGAUUAGUUUGGAAAUUUAUAAUUGUUUGUUCGAAUGCAUGUGACACAUACAGAUUUCAAGUACAAGAAAGGAACAGACUCAGUGCUUGUGGUGAACAAGGAUGACUUCUUCAAGUGCAACACCAAGAACCCAAUUCAGAAGCUAGAUGGUGGUGACUCAGAGUUCACUUUGGAUAGGUCUGGGCCAUUCUACUUCAUCAGUGGGCAAAAUGGUAAUUGUGACAAGGGCCAGAAACUCUUCAUAGUUGUCUUGGCUGUUAGGCAUCACAACAAACCAAACCCUCCUGUUGCUCCCACAACUCCCCCUAGCACCAGCCCUACCUCCCCAUCCCCCAAAUCUCCAUCUCCUCAGUACCCUCAUCACCCUCCUGGGACCUCACCAUCACCAGCAUCAGUGGCUAACCCUCCAGCCACCUCACCAUCACCAGUAGUGGCUAGCCCUCCUGCCACCUCCCCAUCACCAGUGGGCUACCCUCCUGCCACCUCCCCAUCGCCAGUGGGCUACCCUCCUGCCACCUCACCAUCACCAGUGGGCUACCCUCCUGCCACCUCACCAUCACCAGUGGGAUACACUCCUGCCACCUCACCAUCCCCAUCAACAACAACAUCUCCAGCGCUAGCGCCAGGUCCAUCUUCAUCCCUUACACCAUUUCCUUCUCCACCCUCACCGCCCCCCGAGGGGCCCACACCGCCCUCCGAGGGGCCCACACCGGCCCCGUCCGCAGAGUCUGCGGGCCCCACACCACCGGGAACCGUUUCUCCGCCGCCCGGGACAGCGGACUCGACGGCUCCGAGACCGGCGGGGAGUGGAGCGUCGCAUAGUGUAACGGCUCCUUCGAGCGUGCUGGUGUCU
Molecule: long non-coding RNA, 8451 nt
Filed under: Prunus persica (peach)
Lineage: Eukaryota; Viridiplantae; Streptophyta; Magnoliopsida; Rosales; Rosaceae
Description: long non-coding RNA (PPER_LNC004148)
Source: RNAcentral